Molecule: non-coding RNA, 79 nt
Organism: Ornithorhynchus anatinus (platypus)
Lineage: Eukaryota; Metazoa; Chordata; Mammalia; Monotremata; Ornithorhynchidae
Product: microRNA mir-1421b
Exons: 1
Source: RefSeq, marked provisional
GCAUGGCGUUUCGAGGUCACAUGUGGUGCAGCAUGAUUCAGGAACAUGCCGCGCAGCAUGUGACCUUCCUACACCGUGC